CUGGUCGGUAGUGCACGCUGCUUCGAUGUGUUUGUUUGAUCGUGUGUUUUUAGGUUUGCCGUAAUGAAAUGUGGCGUAGUUCGCGUGCACGAAAGUGCCGGAAGAUAGUCUGCGUCUCGCUGCAAACUCGCCGUAUACGUGGCACGCCAGGCAAAUGCGGACCAACGAUUUUCAUACCGUGGAGUGUGUUCCCUUUGUCUUGGGUGGUCGUGGAAAGUUUUAUGGACGUCGCAAUGAAAUGUGUUUUCUUAGCGUGCCUCAGCUCGUCCAUUACGCAACGGCAUGUAUGCUGGGAUCAACAUCGUCGACGCAGCAAUGGCAACUCGGAGAGCUCUUUUCGAUUUCAUCGUACUGUUCAAAAGUGGUGAGGCCUUGGCCCGCAACAGUGUCCACUAAAAGGAGGAGCCCCCAGAAAUGCAGACCCCAUAUGAGUGCCUGCAGCAGCACGGCUGGAUGCUCAUGUCAGGCUUCACCAUGGCGGAGUACCAGGCGGAACCAACGAGGUUAAAAGCUAGCCUUUCCUUGCUGCUUUACGGGGAAGUGAAAAUAGUGGGCGAUCAUGUAAGAAUGAACUUGCAACAUGUGAGCAGUAGCCAAAGCUCCAUACAGGUCAUGCUGGUGGUAGAAACUGGAAUGCUGAGGCAAACCACAUUAUUUAUUUACAUAUUAAGUUAUUUACAUGUAUUUGUUUAUAGCUCACUAAAGCCUUAUAUGCCUCCAGGAAGGAAUUAGGUCAAAUGGGAAAGCAUUAUUACAUCAACGUAAACACAUUAUUCAAAAAAGCAUCAUUCGCGUAGCACAAGCAUGCUGUAACAUUUUUUAUUCAGGUGACGUUUUAUACAAAUCCACGAAAAUUUCUAGAAACGAAGCUAUUAAGUUAACAACUCUUACUAAAAAAAAUAACGAUAUCACAGUUCUGUUAGUUGCACCUAAUCCAUAACUAAAGUUGGCGAAAUUGACUUAUCAUACACUGCUCUAAAAUACAAUCAUUAAUUUGUGAGU
Molecule: long non-coding RNA, 1002 nt
Organism: Dermacentor silvarum
Lineage: Eukaryota; Metazoa; Arthropoda; Arachnida; Ixodida; Ixodidae
Exons: 3
Source: RefSeq, a predicted model, not a curated record